Molecule: long non-coding RNA, 1338 nt
Organism: Myotis daubentonii (Daubenton's bat)
Lineage: Eukaryota; Metazoa; Chordata; Mammalia; Chiroptera; Vespertilionidae
Source: RefSeq, a predicted model, not a curated record
CAUGAAGAGCAGGCAGUGAGAAAGCUGCAUGUGCUCUUGCACGCAGGCCGGACCGGGGUCCAGGAUCAACACUGCCAUCCUGAGAAGUCUCCCAGCAGCUAAAUAUACCCGCGGAGCUGUCACGUGGCGGGCGGCUUUCCCAGGAGAAGAGCCCAUCUUUGGCAAAGGCUGGCAGUGGGGCCCCAUUGCGGCACAAGCCUCCCCAGGUCAGCCACCACCUCAGAGUCUACACCUCAAGGUGCUUCCGCUGCUGUAACCUGGGCCGGGUUUUGGAUCUGCAGGCUCAACCCUUCUCUGGCCUCGAAGGCUCUCUGGCCUUGGCCCAGGUGUCAGGAUCCUGCCAGCCCCAGGCUGGGGGCUGUGUCUGCCCCGACGUAGUUGGAAAACUGGAAUCUGAGCAACCGUGAGCUCCAGGCAGAAGAAUUUCAGCAGUUACACUGCACCCUGGCAAGAGGAUUGUAGGCUCAAUGCGGAGAGCUAGUGAUUUUGCCAACUUCCUGGAUGUUCGUUCCUGGUCCUGCACCAAACAGCCACAUUUCCUUUUGGAACCGGGACCAGGACAGAGGCGGCGGCAGACACGGGAUGUUGUUGUGAGGAUUCGAGAUUGUGAAUGAAAAGGCUGGGCCUGUGGAAUACGCUAUCUCUGGGUCAGUUCCCAGAAGCCCAGAAAUGAACGGCCAGAGCGGCCACCGGACAUCGCUUUUCAGCCACCAGGGGCCACCGGGCAUCACAUCUCGGCCACCCACAAGCCGGGCAACCCUGGGAUGGGAUGAGGACACAGACCUGCACAGAGGGGAAGACCUUGUGAAGACUCGGAAGGGAUAGCCAUCGACACGCCAAGGAGAGAGCUCCGGAGAAACCCGCCCUGCUGACACCUCCGGCUCCAAAUUCCAGAUGAUCUGGGCUGCUUUGUCACGGCAGCCUGAGCAAAGCAACAUGGGAAUUUGCCUGUGUGCUGAGCAGCGUGUGCUUUACAAUGACUGACAGUCUGUCCCAAGCCCCUCCAAGGCGAGCACGUCCCAUUUGGCUUCUCAUAGUCAUCAAAGCAUUGCGUUCCCAUUUCACAGAUGUGGAAACUGAGGCUAAGCAAAUAGCCCAGGGUCAGAUAGCUAGGAUGUGUGGAGAGAGAAUGUUUCCCGGAGUUGGGGCACUCAAACCCGGCUGCACAGAGGAAAUCAGCUGCGAAGUCUUAAAAUACUGAUCCCACCCUGAACGAAGGGAGUUAGAGGAUGGGCAGCAAUUCUCAAGGCACCCCAGUGAUUUUCACCUAGAGCAGUGGUUCUCAACCUUGGCUGCACAUUAGAAUCACCUGGGAAUCUUUUUAAAAUCCUGAUUUCU